Molecule: ribosomal RNA, 463 nt
Filed under: uncultured bacterium
Lineage: Bacteria
Description: partial 16S ribosomal RNA
Rfam family: Bacterial small subunit ribosomal RNA
Source: RNAcentral
GAUGAACGCUGACAGAAUGCUUAACACAUGCAAGUCUUUGGCGAAGCUGUGCUUGCACAGCCUAGCCAAGGCGGACGGGUGAGUAACGCGUAAGGAACUUGCCCUGCAGUCAGGGAUAACAGACGGAAACGACUGAUAAGACCUGGUAAAGUCAGGCGGACUCAUGUCCAGCCUGAUGAAAAGAGAUGCUGCAGGAGAGCCUUGCGUCCUAUUAGCUCGUUGGUGGGGUAACGGCCCACCAAGGCGAUGAUAGGUAGCCGGCCUGAGAGGGUGGACGGCCACAAGGGGACUGAGAUACGGCCCUUACUCCUACGGGAGGCAGCAGUGGGGAAUAUUGGACAAUGGGGGCAACCCUGAUCCAGCAAUUCUGUGUGCACGAUGAAGGUUUUCGGAUUGUAAAGUGCUUUCAGCAGGGAAGAAAAAAAUGACGGUACCUGCAGAAGAAGCGACGGCUAAAUACGUG